CGGGGCUGCGGAGCGGGGCAGGGGCCGGAAAGCCCGCGCGGUGCCCAGUCUUCCCUGCUCCAGUCUGGCACCUGCUCACCUGGCAUAAAAAUGAUGGCUUUGGCAGUGUAAGGAUUGAAGCAGAACAUCAGAUGCUGUCCUGAAACCCAGAUGAAUGAAAUCUGACACAUUGACUUUGUUUAUAACCUCAGUGACAGGACUGCUGUGAGGUUGGUCUGACACAGGCUGCUCUUGGCAAGAGCAAGAAGCCAUGCUGGGAGGAAAGCGCAGAAGUGCUGCGAGCCGUGUCUGGAGAGAUGUUCAGACCAGAGCCACAGGAGUCAAAGACUACUAAGAGGUCUGAGCAGAGAUGGAAACAGAGAGAGCCAGUAUUAAGUUACAUUUCAUGAUGUCUUAGACGCAAAACAUCAUUGUGCUGAUGUUUGCAAAGCAGCAGAAAGGGAGCACUUAGCAGUGUCAUAGAGUCACAGACUAGUUUUGGUUGGAAGGGAUUAUAAAAGGUCAUCUAGUCCAACCUCCCUGCAAUGAACAGGGACAUUUUCAACUGCAUCAGGUUGCUAAGAACCCUGUUUGUUUCAAAACAGGAUAGAGAACAAAAGAAAGAUGGAGAAAACAGUAUUUUAGAGUUUAAGGCUGUUAAAGUAAGGGUAAAACACUCUCUUAGAGAAGAAAAUCGGAAAAGAAAAAGCUGUUGUUGAAGUAUUUCUCAUCCAUGCUUCCUAUGAGCAAGGUGGUCACCUAACAUGGAUAAAUCAAAACUAUGGAUAUCUCAGUUGGUCUCUGAGCUUAUUUAUUAUAUCCACAUAUGGAAAAAUGUACUAGCCGCUUACUGUAGAGGUCAGGCUAUAUAUAAACAACGGCAAGUGAAGCAGGACCUGAUGCAAUUGGCUCUAGGAGCUGCCUGUCCACAGCAUCUGUGCAGCUGCAGGUGGGACGUGGAAUCCCAUCAAUCAAUCUAGGGUUAAACAGGAGCUGACAGUACUUUGGAGGAACAUGAAGUGCCUGCAACCUAUUAGCUGGGCACACGUCUGCACUUUCCCUCUCUUUGCACGAGAACCACCCUUCAAAGCACAGUGAAACAAUCCUCUCACUCUCGAGAAGCUUUCGUUCUGAAGAAUACAUGGGAGUGGCAGAGCAGUGACAUCAAUCAUUUUAAGCACAGUGUACUUGGUGAAAUGCAUGACACAAGUUGCACAGCAGUACCUGCAGUGUCUGUGCUAAGUGACAGAAAAAUAUAUUAGAGACUAGUUAAAGAAACAGCUUGAAAACAGCUUGAAGGAGAAAACAGUGAAAAUGAGAGGGAGAAGAGUAAAAAGUUCCAGCCACCACCUAUUGUGUCUAAACUCAUAUUGUUUCUAAAAAUACAAAAGCAGAAAGCCGGUAGGAAAUGUUGAUGCCAGAAAGCUUUCAGCAAGUAAAGGACCAUGCUGGUGCCCAGCGUAAAAUUGAGCCUCCAGUGCUCCAGGAUUCAAUCUGACAGCCAUGUUCUAAUGCCACUGCUCAGCUCCACCUCAGCUUGACCAAAACUUCAAAGCCUAUUAAAAUCAAGUAGAAACUUUCUGUGCCUCUGGCUCCUAAGUUUAAAAUUGGCACUGGACUUUGUCUCGCAUUUCGCCUCCUCCCCAGCCCUGUAGCUCGAUACCCCUCGUUAGCCUGCUCGGGAUGGUUUGUGUCCCUCUCUUUGGAGAACAUUUGUCACCCGGAACUGCUCCAGCCCCUGCUUAUUUUGCCGAGAAGGAAUUUUGGCAGCAAUUAGCCGAAAAUCUCUCCAAAGACAACCUUUAAGAAAAUGAAAAAUGAAUCCAGUAUCCCAUGUGUAAUGAUGAUGUACCUGGCCUAUGCUCCAGAUGCCAGCAAACAGAAGAUGGCUUCACUCAGGAAGUGGUUGCCUUAAUGACACAGAGGGACAAGGACAUCAAAGUAGGACAGCUGAGAGAGACACGAGGUCAGAACAUGUGAAACUACAAAUAGAGAGACAAGCACCACUUCAAAAAUGCCUGGUUUUAGAAGCCUACUUGCUCUUCAAUUAGCACAUAGCUCUUCUGUUAAUAAACUCCCAUGUAUCUCUGAACACAACCAAUGGCAAGUUGCCUUCUCUCCCACAAAAGACACUGAAAGCAAUUAGUGGAAAAACAAGUAACUGUUAUUAACAGUUACAUUUUCUGCCUGGGCUACCAAGGCCCAUGUGGCUGUAACAACCAGCAGCUCUCAGCAAAACGAGCUACAGCAGGCUGCUGAGCCAGACAGAGCACCAGGGAGAAAUCAGUCCCUCCAAGGCAUUCUUCCCCCUGGCAUCCAUCAGACAUAUAGAUAUAAAAGUUCAGCAUGUAAAGGCCACAUUAGCAGACGCAUCCUUAGACUGCUGCGGAGACGAUGGCUGCAAUCACAUCAUCUGCGCCCUCAAAUUUACCUGUUCUUUGGAAUUCUGCUUUGCAGUGUAUUUGAAGGAUUUCUUGCUUGACUGAUCUUAUUUUGUUCACACAGAAGCAUUCCAUUGUUUAUUUCUUUUAGGCUCUUAGAG
Onychostruthus taczanowskii (white-rumped snowfinch) is the source of this 2521-nucleotide long non-coding RNA. RefSeq lists it as uncharacterized. The record is from RefSeq and is a predicted model, not a curated record. The transcript is spliced from 4 exons. NCBI's taxonomy places the organism in Eukaryota, Metazoa, Chordata, Aves, Passeriformes, Passeridae.